Molecule: ribosomal RNA, 274 nt
Filed under: uncultured bacterium
Lineage: Bacteria
Description: partial 16S ribosomal RNA
Rfam family: Bacterial small subunit ribosomal RNA
Source: RNAcentral
GCCCUCCUACGGGACGCAGCAGUGAGGAAUAUUGGUCAAUGGACGAGAGUCUGAACCAGCCAAGUAGCGUGAAGGAUGACUGCCCUAUGGGUUGUAAACUUCUUUUAUAUGGGAAUAAAACGUUCCACGUGUGGGAUUUUGUAUGUACCAUAUGAAUAAGGAUCGGCUAACUCCGUGCCAGCAGCCGCGGUAAUACGGAGGAUCCGAGCGUUAUCCGGAUUUAUUGGGUUUAAAGGGAGCGUAGGUGGAUUGCUAAGUCAGUUGUGAAAGUUUG